CAAUAGCGUAUAUUAAAGUUGUUGCAGUUAAAAAGCUCGUAGUUGGAUUUGUGGUGUACUUCGGCGGCCCGUCACUAUGUGAUGGAGCUUGCUGAAGUCGCCAUCCUUGGGUGGAUCCUGUGUGGCAUUAAGUUGUCGUGCAGGGGAUGCCCAUCGUUUACUGUGAAAAAAUUAGAGUGUUCAAAGCAGGCUUAUGCCGUUGAAUAUGUUAGCAUGGAAUAAUAAGAUAGGACCUUGGUAUUAUUUUGUUGGUUUGCGCACCAAGGUAAUGAUUAAUAGGGACAGUUGGGGGUAUUCGUAUUUCAUUGUCAGAGGUGAAAUUCUUGGAUUUUUGAAAGACGAACUACUGCGAAAGCAUUUACCAAGGAUGUUUNCAUUAA
This 380-nucleotide ribosomal RNA is filed under the name uncultured eukaryote. RNAcentral's name for it is "partial 18S ribosomal RNA". It matches the Rfam family "Eukaryotic small subunit ribosomal RNA", at positions 592 to 976 of the family's 1831-position model. The record is from RNAcentral.